Molecule: long non-coding RNA, 6855 nt
Organism: Panthera uncia (snow leopard)
Lineage: Eukaryota; Metazoa; Chordata; Mammalia; Carnivora; Felidae
Exons: 5
Source: RefSeq, a predicted model, not a curated record
AGAGCUGCCUGCGCGAGGAACGCCUCCGUCCAGUCCGCGCCGGGCCUCGGCAGCGCGAGCAGCACCGGCAGCGCGCUCAGGGAGCAGGCGCGGCGGCGCACCGCCUCACCGCCGUCACCGGGAUCUCCGCGCCGCUACCUCCUCUUCCGUCGCCCUCCUCCCACCCCUCCACCUCCUUCCCCCGCCCCCUCUGCGGCGAAGAGGAGAGGGCCCCCGGCCGCCUCCCUCUCUCCCCGCCCCUGGGGCUGCACGUCAAUGGGCCGGCAGCGCAGGCCUCGGCGGAGCAGCCUGCGGACGGCGUCCGGCCCGGCGGGUGAAGGGGCUGCCGAGUCCUGCUUCGGCGCAGGCCGAUUGCUGAUGCUCCCGCGGCAGUUGCCACCACAGCAGCGGCUCCAGGAGCGCUCUCUCUCUCUUCGAUUUCUCUCUCUCUCUGUCUCUCUCUUUUUUUUUUAAGUUCUGAGCUCGCAGUACUUGGGCUGCGCCGGCGAGAUCUCGCGAGAUGCGGCAGGGCCGCUUCACCUCAGGCGUGUGGUACCCGAGGCGGUGCUAGAGCUGCCGGCCGCCCCCCGCUCCCGUGGGUGAUGCCGGGGGUUUUCCCGUCGGGCCCGCAGGUGCUUCCGGAGUGGCCGCCGAGGGGCGCCCCGAGGCGAGGUCCGCUCGCUGCUCCGGCCCGCCGCUACUGCCGGCCCUCACCCCAGGCCUGAGCCUUAGGGGGAGGCAGGAUUUCCUCUGUGCAGCUUUUGAGGCGGUUGACUCCCCGCCUGGCCGCGUUAGAUUUGCAUAACCAGAAACUCAUUCCAGUGGAGAUGCAGUGGGUGUGUCCACGCUUCGAUGACACCUUUAUUUUAAAAGCUGUGAUGUUUGAAGGUCAUCCUAACCUGUGAUUCCAAUUAAAGAUUUUUAAAAAAGAGAAGAGUUCAGCCCUUCAAGUAUUGGUUUGCACUCCUUAAGCCAGAGGAUUUAUUCCCAAAGGACACAGUGACUAUUAUGUUGGGCCUCAAAAACUGAAAGCACUAAAAAUUACUCUUUGAAGUUUACUACCAGAAUCCAGCGUCUAGACAGACCAAAUCGGACUGGAAUGGGAUCCUUCAAGAGCAUGGACUUUGUACCGGAUGGCCUCUAAGUGUCCUGCUGAUCCUGGAAAUCCCCAUUUAUGACUGAUGAGAAGGUGAUGACGUGUGUUUCUGCUCAGAGUUUCAGGUGGUGAAAAAAUAGGCUAUUUCAUAAGGACCUCUGUGACUUCCUGAACAUUCUCUUUUCAUUGAGGAAGUGACCCUAACUGGAGGACAGCAUCUCCCAUGGCAGCAGGAGGAGAGAAGGCAGGUGAGUAAUGAGGUGACCCCUUAUUCUACAGAGCACACAAGGGUCUGUGUGCUCCAUGAAUCACAAUAGAUUUCCUAAUGCAGACUUGGAUAUCAUCUUAAUCGAUCUAAGACAGUGGUGAAAUUAAAUGGUGCCCAAAAUCUAGGCAACAGUAUUUUUGUCCUAGGGUCUGUGAAAUUCCAUGAGAAAAGUGUUCAGAAAGAGCUGAAUUGAGUGAAGGAUUUGGGGAGUUGAAGAAGUAUUCAAACAAAACCAGUUUAAUUUAUAUGAACCCCCCAGUGAGGAAAGCAUUGAGAAUGGGAAUUUUGAAAUAAAAAUUUUCCACAUUACUUCACAGGUUCUGCUUCCUUACUGAAUGUUGCUUGUUUGCUUUUAUAAAUAAUAUUUCCUCCAGCUGGCACCCUUAGACAGGAUCCAUUCAGAUGAAUGUCAUGGAGCAUUGAGCAAUUCCAGUACCUUUCUCAAUGAAAACUUAAAGGUUAUGUUAUUCUCCCUAUCCUUUCCUUUUGAGUGGCUAUGAAGGAAGUUGUUGAUAUUAUUGUUAAUGUUUCAAAGAAAACUAUAGCUGCUAGUUAUUUUCUUAAGUGAGGCAGAGCUCCUGGCCUUGGAAAUGUCCUUGAAGAUAGGCUUUUUUAGGUGUUACUACUACUUCUCAAAGAGUAAAGGAUAGGAAUAGAAGUCUUUAGUCUUCCAUUAGUUUGCUCUCAUUUCUUUCCGGAGUGUGAUUAUGGUUAGGUAUCUUGCUCUUGGGUGGAGGUAUACACAGCUAGUUUGACAACCUGGUUGGCCUGAUGUGCUGAGGGGCACAAGGAGUCAGAAUUUUGGAAAUGCCCAUGAUUUCCAUCAGCAAAGAAAAUAUUGGCUGGUUGGCAACUGAGGGUCAAAUCAAUAAUGAUUCUUUUGUGUGGGCACAGUUGGAAAAGAAUGCCUUUCACCAAUUUUAAUAAAACCUCUGAAACAUAAUUGUAAAGGGGCAUUGGGGAAAAUCCUGUGACCUAUUUGGAAUGUAUAAGAAGGACUCUCAGGGUGACCCUGGUGGUCAGAGAGAGAAUGGAGCUCUGGGGAUGGACCUAAUGAGAGCAAUCCUACAAGCUCAUUGACUGAGAAAUAAAGCAGAGACUUAAAGAAUUAAAAGAAUUUAUUGGCUAACAUGGGGCAAAGUUAGACAAAUAUAGGCUUGUAGCCUUUAAUCCAUGUAGUGGAAAGAGGCUGGUUCAUUAGGAAAAUCAUAUUUCGUAUGGGAUUGGGAAAAUAAGUAGAGAGAAGAAGAAUAUGUUAAGGACACAGCAGAAUGUGAAUUUCAAUACUAAGGUGGCCUAAUGGAGACUUCUCGACUCUCCCAAGGGCAUAUGGAUCAACCAACCUGGCACUCAGUAAUAAAAAAACAAAGGGACUCUUUCUGACCAAAGACCUUGGCAGAUGGUAGGGGGAAAGAGGUGUGGUUGCAAACAGCCCAAGGCUUUUUCAACAUCAACUGUAUCCACAGAUUUGAAAAGACUGACUUUGCCCAAACAAAAUGUGAGAGAGACAUCUGUAUGAUCAGAUUACCAUCUACUAUUGCUGUCAGGAACUACCCAGAGGACAAGUAUAAACCAACCAAACACCAUAAUAGACACCUUUUGGGGAGGGCAGGUGUGCCUGGGUUUUUCUAUGGCCAUGCAGAGCCGAUAGGCAAGGGGUUUUGCUGGAUUUGGGAACUUAUUGAGGAAUAUUGACGGGCACUGGCUCCCCCUCUCCUUGGAAAUUUUACCUUCCAGCCCAGCACCAAGGAAAGCAUCCAGCAUGCACCACAGACAUAGUCUAAACCUGAAACUGUCAUUCACUGUGCUUGGAGACCUAAGGGAGUUUGAACAUUCUCUGACUCUGCAGGAGCACUUCACACUUGAGGGCCAUUUUAUCUGUCACGCUUCAGAACUUUUCAUCUGUAGAGGUCUGUGCUCUGAAACCAGUCAUGUGGCCUUGUCACUUCCUGGAGCCUCUAGUAGAGUGUCCUUUCCCAGACAGUCCCAGAGCUCAUCACCUGCUGUCUCUGCCCUGAUGACAUCUUACCAAGUAAGGCCUUCUCCUGUCACUCUGUAUAAAAUAAAACCUCUCUCCUAGGAUCCCUAUCCCCUUUUCAUAUUGUUUGUCUCUUUAGCUUUUUCACCCUCUGUUACUUUAUAUAUUGGCUAGUUUAUCUGCUUGGCGUAUUUCCUGCCCCACUAGAAUAUAAGUUCCACGAGGGCAGGAUGUUGUCUGUUUUGUUUACUGCUUCGUCCCACCACAGGUAUCCUGUAAAUAUUUUGGAAAUAAAUGAAUGAGGCCUUAAGCAGAGGUUUUAAGUUUAUCUGGUCUCUUUCAAUUUCUUCAGCCCUGUGGGUUGUUUGGGCCCCAUGGGUGAGUAACAGAUGGAAAGGGCUUUUUGCAAAGGGUGUAACCGAAACUAAUUAAUGUACCCAAGCACAAAGUGAAAGUUCUUCACUCUGAGAAGGACAAACAGUUGUCAGUCAUUGUUUCUUGAUUAUCUUUCCAAGGCAGGGUCCUCCCAAGUCUAGAAUGUUGUCUUUGGUCUUUAAGGAAAAAGUAACAAGACAAUUGUUUCACAGGUGCCUCUGGCACAUGCCAGCAUCUAGUAAUGAUUGACUUGUUUCUGGAUUUUAAUGCCUUUAAAUCAUCCUACUGUCCUUUGAAACCAAGGCAGCCAAGAGAGCUUAGGAAAUACUUAUUAUCUUAAAAUUAAGUUAACAGAAAGAUUCAUAAUUGACUGUUAGCCCUUCGGUUCCAUGGUUUCUGAGUAUCAUCUUGUAUCUGAAGGUUUUUCUGGCAGUUGCAUUCUGCCAUCGAGAAAACUUGUCACCCAUUAGAAAAGCUUCUUCAGACAUCAGUGGGCUUGAGGACCACCUGAGUAGGUAUUUGAUCUCUCACGUUCUUUCUUCUCGGUAACUCCAAAUUCCAGAUGUCAGGGACAAUCAAUUUGAGCUGGGUUUUAUGACCUACUGUGGGAUUCUUGGACAAAGUUAGAUUCAACACUAAUAAAAUGGAGAUAAACACAUCAAGUCUGUGAAAACCUGUUUGCCAACUCCACAUUAAUUGCAGAAUUUAGAAGAGAUUCAUGGGAUCAUUAGAAAAAUGAGUUCUCCAAUCUUUUGUCAACUGUGGAUCAAGAAAAGGAGUUAAGAUAACUCUUUGGAUUUCUUAAAAAAGAGUCUGGUAUUUAAAUGAAUCUAACAGCCCCAGGAUGCCCUAUACAAGCCACAGCCCUUUCUACUCUCAGUACCAUAGCCUCCGUCUGUGACAUUGUGGAGGCAGCUCAUACAGGCAUGUGAGAGCAAGUUGUCAGAAUUUCAGGAAAGUUGGGAGCUGGUUGAUCUAACAGCAGUAGCUUAAAAAGGGCCAUGGCAGGAGGAAGUAAACCACUGAGAUAGGCCAGCACUGGGAAUCAGGGUUCCUCCAGAACUCCAGGGAGCUGGUUGUUAAACAUUCACUAGCACGCCACUAGCCCUCAGUAUCCUUCAACACUGCAAGAAGUCCUUUGCCUGCCUGACGCGUGUGUGUGUGUGUGUGUGUGUGUGUGUGUGUACAUAUACACGUGAAAUAAAAAAUAUUUAAAAUAUUUUGUAAAAACAAAAAAGGAUAAAAGUUUCCCAGAAAAUGGAGAUGAAGGUUGCCCGACUGAGUAUAAACACCUCAUAGACAAUGGACUAUUCAUCUGUGCUGAGGAACUGGAGCCUAACCAUCGUUCCACAUACUCCAGGUGUGACACCAGUGACUUUUCACUCUUAGACCAGCUGUUGAAUCUCCCUAUAAGUUCUGGGGAUCCAAGCAGAGAGUAAACGUCUUUGUGAAAAGGUAUCAGCGGGCAUGAGGCCGUAUACAAUAUACACAUACUAUGAAUAUAUCUAAAAAGAAACAACCAUCAGAAGGCCUGGAUCCUUUGCUAACUUUCACUCUAGAGUUAAAUAUUUGCCAAGAAGUAAGCUUCUUCCACUUCAGAUCUUUAAAGUUAUGUUAUAGAAGUGACCACCCAGCCUCAAUAAAAGAGAAUAUGGAUUAUCAUACCAAUGACUACACCACGUGAGAUAAAGGCAAUCUCCCUGCAACUUCAAAUAUUCCUCUGGAAAUAACACGCGCAUUGUUUACCCUACCUGAGAACCACCUGUAUUUGUAUAGCAAUCACACUUGAAAGAUACUAAGAGUCCAGGGCCGAGCCCCAAAGGCAGGGUCUGUUGACAUAAUUAGGUGGUAACUCUCCAACUCCCAAAGUUCUUUUGACGAUAAGAAAGAGACACCUCUUGCUCUGUAGGAAACUCCUUUUCAGUUUGUUUUCUAGUAAUUGCCUAGUUUAUUCCCUUCCUGCUGUUCAGUGGUUACUUUAUUUAGGGACAGUAGAGGAUUUUUACCUGGUUCCAUGGGCUUAAACAGUUCUGGAAAAGUGGCUGUGCACCUGCACCCGAGAAGAGUAGAUGCGUAUUAACUAUUUUACAAAACAAACAACUCCAGGAUGCCUUGCAACUGCUAAUAACCUCCCUGGAACAGCCCAGCACUGCUGGAUUGUCCCUUUCCACUGUUAGUUCAUACGCAAAGUGGUAGGAUAUUGCCACCUUUGCUCAAAUGCAAGAAAAUCAGAAGAUGCUGUGACCUGAAAGUGCUGGUACUUCCAGCUCCAGUUGGUUUCAGAGGAAACUUCCGGUGGCUGUCACCGGCUACAAAGUAGAUGACAUGUGUCUUGUACUCUUUGACUUAUUCCUUUCCUGAAGAUAACACUCAGGAUCUUUCACCUCUCCUUGCCUCUGAAUAGGCUGCUCCCUCUGCUUAGAUCUCUCUCGUGCUCACCUCCAUUUUCACUUGGCCAUUUUGGAAUCAUCAUUCACUUCCCCAUAUUGGAAUCGUCAACUCAGCUAUCACGCCAUGCCUGAAGGCUUCCCUGAGGAAUCCUCAUCUCCAGCCUGGGUAAGGGAUGGUUCCUCUGAGUUCUUACAGUAAUUUUUGAUGAUUGCCAUCAUCCCAUAUGGCAUAAUGUGCAAUAUAUCCUAGGUAUGGUUAGCCUCUUUCUUAAAGCAGUGGUUCUGAAUUUGGGUUAUAUGUAGGAUGAUGUCAGUACAUAGCCCUUUACAUUAUGUUGGGCUCACCACAAGUGUAACUACCAUCUGCCCCACCCAAGACUAUGACAGUGUCAUUGAGUACAUUCUUUAUGCUGUGCCUUUUAUUCCCAUGACUUACCCAUUCCGGAAUGGGAAGUCAGUAUCUCCAACUCUUCUGCAGCUAUUUUGCCCAUCACCCUGUUUCCCUUCCCUCUGGACACUUAUCAGUUUGUUCUCUGUGUUUAUAGGUCUGAUUCUGCUUUUUCUUUGUUUACUCAUUUGUUUUGCUUUUUAGAUUACACAUGUAAGUAAAAUCACAUGGUAGUUGUCUCGGUCUGACUUAUUUCACUUAGCACAACACCCGUCCAUCCAUCAUCCUUUCUUAUAGCUGUGUAAUAUUCCAUUGUGUGUGUGUGCAUGUGUGUGUGUGUGAGAGAGAGAGAGAGACAGAGACAGAGGGAGGGAGGGAGGG